AGUGAACGCUGGCGGUAGGCCUAACACAUGCAAGUCGAACGGCAGCACAGAGGAGCUUGCUCCUUGGGUGGCGAGUGGCGGACGGGUGAGGAAUACAUCGGAAUCUACUCUGUCGUGGGGGAUAACGUUGGGAAACUUAGGCUAAUACCGCAUACGACGUACGGGUGAAAGCAGGGGAACUUCGGAGCUUGCGAGAUUGAAUGCGCCGAUGUCGGAUUAGCUAGUUGGCCGGGUAAAGGCCCACCAAGGCGCCGAUCCGUAGCUGGUCUGAGAGGAUGAUCAGCCACACUGGAACUGAGACACGGUCCAGACUCCUACGGGAGGCAGCAGUGGGGAAUAUUGGACAAUGGGCGCAAGCCUGAUCCAGCCAUACCGCGUGGGUGAAGAAGGCCUUCGGGUUGUAAAGCCCUUUUGUUGGGAAAGAAAUCCAUCUGGUUAAUACCCGGGUGGGAUGACGGUACCCAAAGAAUAAGCACCGGCUAACUUCGUGCCAGCAGCCGCCGUAA
RNAcentral lists this ribosomal RNA (506 nucleotides) under uncultured bacterium. Its description in RNAcentral is "partial 16S ribosomal RNA". It matches the Rfam family "Bacterial small subunit ribosomal RNA", at positions 29 to 523 of the family's 1533-position model. The record is from RNAcentral.